RNAcentral lists this ribosomal RNA (421 nucleotides) under uncultured Clostridium sp. Its description in RNAcentral is "bacterial SSU rRNA". It matches the Rfam family "Bacterial small subunit ribosomal RNA", at positions 355 to 794 of the family's 1533-position model. The record is from RNAcentral. Lineage: Bacteria; Bacillati; Bacillota; Clostridia; Eubacteriales; Clostridiaceae.
UGGGGAAUAUUGCACAAUGGGGGAAACCCUGAUGCAGCAACGCCGCGUGAGUGAAGAAGUAUUUCGGUAUGUAAACCUCUGUCUUCGGUGACGAAAAUGACGGUAGCCGAGGAGGAAGCCACGGCUAACUACGUGCCAGCAGCCGCGGUAAUACGUAGGUGGCAAGCGUUGUCCGGAAUUACUGGGUGUAAAGGGAGCGUAGGCGGGGAUACAAGUUGAAUGUUAAAACUAUGGGCUCAACCCAUAGUUGCGUUCAAAACUGUAUUUCUUGAGUGAAGUAGAGGUAAGCGGAAUUCCUAGUGUAGCGGUGAAAUGCGUAAAUAUUAGGAGGAACACCAGUGGCGAAGGCGGCUUACUGGGCUUUAACUGACGCUGAGGCUCGAAAGCGUGGGUAGCAAACAGGAUUAGAUACCCUGGUAGU